RNAcentral lists this ribosomal RNA (441 nucleotides) under uncultured bacterium. RNAcentral describes it as "SSU rRNA". It matches the Rfam family "Bacterial small subunit ribosomal RNA", at positions 26 to 518 of the family's 1533-position model. The record is from RNAcentral.
AGAACGAACGCUGGCGGCAGGCUUAACACAUGCAAGUCGAGCGCCUCGCAAGAGGAGCGGCAGACGGGUGAGUAACGCGUGGGAAUCUACCCAUCCUUACGGAACAACUCCGGGAAACUGGAGCUAAUACCGUAUACGCCCUUCGGGGGAAAGAUUUAUCGAGGAUGGAUGAGCCCGCGUUGGAUUAGCUAGUUGGUGGGGUAAAGGCCUACCAAGGCGACGAUCCAUAGCUGGUCUGAGAGGAUGAUCAGCCACAUUGGGACUGAGACACGGCCCAAACUCCUACGGGAGGCAGCAGUUGGGAAUCUGGACAAUGGGGGAAACCCUGAUCCAGCCAUGCCGCGUGAGUGAUGAAGGCCUUCGGGUUGUAAAACUCUUUCGACGGGGACAUGAUGACGGUACCGUAGAAGAAGCUCCGGCUAACUUCGUGCCAGCAGCCGC